AACUUUUAGCAAUGGAUCUCUUGGCUCUCGCAUCGAUGAAGAACGCAGCGAAAUGCGAUAAGUAAUGUGAAUUGCAGACUUCAGUGAAUCAUCGAAUCUUUGAACGCAACUUGCGCUCCUUGGUAUUCCGAGGAGCAUGCCUGUUUGAGUGUCAUUAAAUUCUCAACCUUAUCAGUUUAUUUCUGAUAGUGGUUUGGAUGUGGGGGUUUUCUUGCUGGCUGAGGUCAGCUCCCCUUAAAUGCAUUAGCUGGUGCCCCGUGUGGACUUUCUAUUGGUGUGAUAAUUAUCUACGCCAUGGAUGUCUGCAAUCAUAAGGGUUUAGCACUGCUUCUAACCGUCUGUUAAUUCGGACAAUACAUGACAAUUUGACCUCAAAUCAGGUAGGACUACCCGCUGAACUUAAGCAUAUCAAUAAGCGGAGGCU
This 424-nucleotide unclassified non-coding RNA is filed under the name uncultured Agaricales. RNAcentral describes it as "sequence contains ITS2". The stretch from base 1 to 154 matches the Rfam family "5.8S ribosomal RNA". Lineage: Eukaryota; Fungi; Basidiomycota; Agaricomycetes; Agaricales. The record is from RNAcentral.